UCCUACGGGAGGCAGCAGUGGGGAAUUUUGGACAAUGGGCGCAAGCCUGAUCCAGCAAUGCCGCGUGCAGGAAGAAGGCCUUCGGGUUGUAAACUGCUUUUGUACGGAACGAAACGGUCCUGGUUAAUACCCGGGGCUAAUGACGGUACCGUAAGAAUAAGCACCGGCUAACUACGUGCCAGCAGCCGCGGUAAUCCGUAGGGUGCAAGCGUUAAUCGGAAUUACUGGGGGUAAAGCGUGCGCAGGGGGUGCUGUAAGACAGGCGUGAAACCCCCGGGCUUAACCUGGGAACGGCACUUGUGACUGCACGGCUGGAGUGCGGCAGAGGGGGAUGGAAUUCCGCGUGUAGCAGUGAAAUGCGUAGAUAUGCGGAGGAACACCGAUGGCGAAGGCAAUCCCCUGGGCCUGCACUGACGCUCAUGCACGAAAGCGUGGGGAGCAAACAGGAUUAGAUACCCCGGUAGUCCA
Molecule: ribosomal RNA, 468 nt
Filed under: uncultured Hydrogenophaga sp.
Lineage: Bacteria; Pseudomonadati; Pseudomonadota; Betaproteobacteria; Burkholderiales; Comamonadaceae
Description: bacterial SSU rRNA
Rfam family: Bacterial small subunit ribosomal RNA
Source: RNAcentral